RNAcentral lists this non-coding RNA (233 nucleotides) under Ligilactobacillus equi. RNAcentral's name for it is "Lactobacillus equi T-box sequence". It matches the Rfam family "T-box leader". From Rfam's summary of the family: Uncharged tRNA acts as the effector for transcription antitermination of genes in the T-box leader family. T-boxes are found upstream of many aminoacyl-tRNA synthetase genes and some amino acid biosynthetic genes usually in Gram-positive bacteria. The record is from RNAcentral. Lineage: Bacteria; Bacillati; Bacillota; Bacilli; Lactobacillales; Lactobacillaceae.
UAAAAAACGGUGAAAAGAUGAGUAAUUAAGUUAGUACUUAUACAGAGAGCCUCAGUGCUGAGAAGAGGCUAAGGAACACUUAGUGAAGUAUGGUCUUGGAGGAUUUAGCUGGUGAAGUCUUGAGCCAGCUAGGGUUCUUACCCCUUAGCGUAAGCACUAAUUUUAGUGAUUGAGGUCUUUAAUGUAAAUUAAAGAUAAAUCAAGGUGGUAACACGGCUAGCCCCGUCCUUGAC